This 519-nucleotide ribosomal RNA is filed under the name Triticum aestivum (bread wheat). RNAcentral describes it as "partial small subunit ribosomal RNA". Lineage: Eukaryota; Viridiplantae; Streptophyta; Magnoliopsida; Poales; Poaceae. The record is from RNAcentral.
AUGAAGCCCAUUAGUCAGGCUGAUGUGGCACUGCUUAACACCUCGCAGAUAACAGUGUCAGUUGGUAACGUUGUGAUCCUAUGUGGAGCCAUGUGGGGUCCAUCUGCCAUUGAAAGAAAAAAUGCCUGCCUUUUUUUCUGGCCUUAUCUUCCCCGUACUGAAACAGAGCUGAGGUGCACAUGCUUCGGCACCGGCGAGAUCCGCAUGCCGCCGGUGAUGUCGCUCGCGAGCAUCAGGAGGCAGAGCGCGGCGUCCUCCUGCUCCUCCUCUAACGAGCUCAGCAUCGGCUGCGGCGACAUGGGGGCCGGCGCCGCCACGCGCAUCGAACUGCGCCUCCGCCUGGGCAGCGCGGCCAACACAGCAACCGGGAGUACUCCAGCAACCGGCGGCCACCUCCAUCUCGUCAUGGGCCUCCGGCAGCGCCUUGCCGAGCGAGCGGCCGUACAGGAAGACACAUGGCUGCCCGGGGGAGGAUCUGAGGCGGCAAGCAUGACCAUUGGGGAUCUGGGGAAGAACUGA